Molecule: small RNA, 829 nt
Filed under: Pongo abelii (Sumatran orangutan)
Lineage: Eukaryota; Metazoa; Chordata; Mammalia; Primates; Hominidae
Description: processed transcript
Source: RNAcentral
GUUCAUGGGAUGCCUCUACAGCCAAGAAAUCUCUCCCUAAUGGACAAGCUCCUGUAAGAAGUUCAACAUUUUCAGACUAUACAGUGUAAAAGGGAAAUAGAGGGAAAGCAAAAUCAGUUUAUCAGUAUGCAUGUAUUGAGUGCCAACCAAGCAACCACAAAAACUCCUGGGGAGUAAAACAUCCAAGGGACAUGGUCUCCACCAUCAGGGGGCUGAUAAUGUAACUGGAAAGAGAAGACAUAUGUGGGUAAAAAAAGACCUAACCAUAUGUGGCAUUUUUGUAACUGAGUGCCAUGUGCUUGCUGUCCAGAAUGAGUGCUAUGACAGCCCCAAAGCAUUCUGGUGGGUAAGUGUAGGUUUGGAACUUGUCCUUGAAAGAUGGGGCUUUGGAUAAGCAAAGGAGAGCAGCAAGGGCAUUCUAGGUAGGAAGAAUGAUAUGGGGAAAGGUUUGGAGAUAAGAAAAUACAAAAUAUUUAGGAAAGAUAGCAGAUCAUUUUUGACAUGGAAGAACGGAAGAUAGGUCAGAACUUUAAUGCUUCUGAUCAAAGAUAAUUGACAAUCUUCUAGAAUUAAAAUAGACCAUGGUGUGAUUAGCGGGAAAGAGGUGACUAUAGAAUAAUGAAUGUUAGGACCAGAUUGUGGCGGGUUUUGAGUGUCGUGUUUUUGGGAUUCAUCCACAUUGUUGUCUAUGACCUCCUCCCUUGCUGAGGAGUAUUCUAUUGUAAGAAUACACACGAUUUAUCCAUCUGCUCUCCUGUUAAUUAACACGGGUCAUUUCCAGGUUAGAGGUAUUACACAUAAAGGUACUCUAAAUAUUCUCGUAUAGGUC